This 253-nucleotide ribosomal RNA is filed under the name uncultured bacterium. RNAcentral's name for it is "partial 16S ribosomal RNA". It matches the Rfam family "Bacterial small subunit ribosomal RNA", at positions 524 to 776 of the family's 1533-position model. The record is from RNAcentral.
UACAGAGGUCUCAAGCGUUGUUCGGAUUCAUUGGGCGUAAAGGGUGCGUAGGCGGCGCGGUAAGUCGGGUGUGAAAUCUCGGAGCUUAACUCCGAAACUGCAUUCGAUACUGCCAUGCUUGAGGACUGGAGAGGAGACUGGAAUUUACGGUGUAGCGGUGAAAUGCGUAGAUAUCGUAAGGAAGACCAGUGGCGAAGGCGGGUCUCUGGACAGUUCCUGACACUGAGACACGAAGGCCAGGGGAGCAAACGGG